Long non-coding RNA from Pongo pygmaeus (Bornean orangutan), 346 nucleotides. RefSeq lists it as uncharacterized. The transcript is spliced from 2 exons. NCBI's taxonomy places the organism in Eukaryota, Metazoa, Chordata, Mammalia, Primates, Hominidae. The record is from RefSeq and is a predicted model, not a curated record.
AGACGCGUCCGACUGCUUCAUUGUGGGAGCCUCAGGAGCGGAGGAUCGGGUCCCGCCCGAGGUGACGCGUAAACCCGGACUCUCAGCAACGCGGGUAAGAAGGACCCUUGAAGUUCCGCGGCGACCACGGAACUGUGCCUUCCAUCGUCCACAGUCGGCUGAAACCAGUAGCCCAGGACAAGUGGACCAGCCAGCAAGACCCAGACCAUCCAAACUGGCUGAUCCUACGACAGGACCCAGGUGCCAGUGAAAGUGACCACAGCCCUGCUCUGGUCACUCCGGAAGCUGACCAGUCCACGCACAGCCGAAGCUUCAUCAAGGAAGUAAAUGUAGUUAGAAAUCUUAA